This is a long non-coding RNA of Meriones unguiculatus (Mongolian gerbil), 1264 nucleotides long. RefSeq lists it as uncharacterized. The record is from RefSeq and is a predicted model, not a curated record. Lineage: Eukaryota; Metazoa; Chordata; Mammalia; Rodentia; Muridae. The transcript is spliced from 4 exons.
AGCCUGCCCGCCCGCUCACUGCGCAAGCGCGGGCGGAGUGGGCACUCCGAGGGCUCCGGCCUGCGCGGGGAAGGCAGAGCUCGGUUGCUUGUCCGGGGACGUACAGGGAGUGGAGCCCGGGUGGGGAGGGGGUCUUCGGUGCAUCGCCCUCCUCCUCGUGACCCUCCCUCCCACGCUUGCACACGGGCAUAACCAGAUCCUCAGCAGGCACCGUCGGCCUUAAGCCCAGAUGGGGUGUGGGCGCCUCGUUGGGGUACACCCUUUCCCGGUGUUCAUGCCCCUGCCAGUCAUGGUGAUCAUCAGAGAGGCUUCACCGUUAGCUUCCCUUGGGUUCCUGAAAUAGCCCAAGUUUUUACCUGCUGGUAUUUGGGAUGCUGGCUAACUGGCUGAGUUCACGGACAGGCUGGCUGACCUUUGUGCCAUCUCACCAUAGGUGACAGAUGCAAGGUGCUGUGUUCUCGGAGCUGAGCUCUGUUAGGCCCAGUGUUUCAGGAACAUUUCAGGAGGCUGCUUUCCAGAGGGAAGUAGGGGCUGAAAAUGACCUGAAGCUGACACGGUCCUCAUCAAUUACAAACCUUCUAAGUCCACCAUCAGGAGCAAAAGAGUGAAGGGGGGCUUGUAGCAAGGAUAUGGAUAACUGGCUGUAAGCUGUGUGUGUGUGCGUGUGUGCGUAUGUGCCCUUUCUGUAGUCUCAAAUUAAGUUUACAGGACCAGAGACUACUGGAAUCUAAAGGGAUUGCUAAACUCAUACAGUGUGAUAUGGUCUACAGAUGUAAACUGUGCCACCUACAGACCAUGUCAGGAAUCCAAGGCCCAGGGUACUACUUGCUUCCCAUGCUUCAUCUCCCAAGACUUUUACCCCUCUAUCCACUUGCAGUGCUUUUAACACUAGUGCAUUUGCCCAACAUACAGGGAUGGCUCUGGACCCUUCUCCUUACUGAGAGGCCCAUCCCUGGCAGUGGCAUGAGUAGCUGUGAGCAUCACAGAUGUGAUGAGGUUUUCCUGGCGUUCCUGAGGCUUCAUGAUUCAUCCGUGUGGCCAUGUGAAUCACCACUGUUCAUGCCCCAUCAUUCCCCCAUCUUGGAUCUAGUUUGAAGAAUCUUAUCUGGGUUUUCUGCUAAAGCUUCCUGUGGCUUUGCGUAAUGUAGGCAUGAUUUCUGUGUUCUUGGCCCACCCUGAAAUGUUAACAUAACCUCCAGAGCCAAAAUCAUAAAUAAUACCUGAGAAAUAAAAUGAGAAACAAAUGCAUACAAAGAAGUCCUGU